GACGAACGCUGGCGGCGUGCUUAACACAUGCAAGUCGAACGAAGAGCGAUGGAAGCUUGCUUCUAUCAAUCUUAGUGGCGAACGGGUGAGUAACGCGUAAUCAACCUGCCCUUCAGAGGGGGACAACAGUUGGAAACGACUGCUAAUACCGCAUACGAUCUAAUCUCGGCAUCGAGGAUAGAUGAAAGGUGGCCUCUACAUGUAAGCUAUCACUGAAGGUGGGGAUUGCGUCUGAUUAGCUAGUUGGAGGGGUAACGGCCCACCAAGGCGAUGAUCAGUAGCCGGUCUGAGAGGAUGAACGGCCACAUUGGGACUGAGACACGGCCCAGACUCCUACGGGAGGCAGCAGUGGGGAAUCUUCCGCAAUGGACGAAAGUCUGACGGAGCAACGCCGCGUGAGUGAUGACGGCCUUCGGGUUGUAAAGCUCUGUUAAUCGGGACGAAAGGCCUUCUUGCGAACAGUUAGAAGGAUUGACGGUACCGGAAUAGAAAGCCACGGCUAACUACGUG
RNAcentral lists this ribosomal RNA (510 nucleotides) under uncultured bacterium. Its description in RNAcentral is "partial 16S ribosomal RNA". It matches the Rfam family "Bacterial small subunit ribosomal RNA", at positions 28 to 507 of the family's 1533-position model. The record is from RNAcentral.